UACAAAGAUCCCAAGCGUUGUUCGGAUUCACUGGGCGUAAAGGGUGCGUAGGCGGUGAGGCAAGUCUGAUGUGAAAGCUCGGAGCUUAACUCCGAAAUGGCAUUGGAAACUGCCUUGCUCGAGGGUCGGAGGGGAGACUGGAAUACUUGGUGUAGCAGUGAAAUGCGUAGAUAUCAAGUGGAACACCAGUGGCGAAGGCGAGUCUCUGGACGAUUCCUGACGCUGAGGCACGAAAGCCAGGGGAGCAAACGGG
This 253-nucleotide ribosomal RNA is filed under the name uncultured bacterium. Its description in RNAcentral is "partial 16S ribosomal RNA". It matches the Rfam family "Bacterial small subunit ribosomal RNA", at positions 524 to 776 of the family's 1533-position model. The record is from RNAcentral.